MicroRNA precursor from Monodelphis domestica (gray short-tailed opossum), 63 nucleotides. Lineage: Eukaryota; Metazoa; Chordata; Mammalia; Didelphimorphia; Didelphidae. The record is from Ensembl.
UCCUUUGCGUGGCCCCUUGUUCUGAGAGUAACUGAAGGAGAAUGAGGUGCCGCACAAAGGAUU